UGCUUCUGGCUGCCCGUAUUCAGACGUGAACUUGAAAAAGGAGGCAGCUCUUCGUGAUCAUCUGAGACAACAAACACAGGCAAAUCUGCAAUUAGUCUUCACAUUCAAACUCCAAAGACCUCUGUGCUUUGAACUUCAGUGGAAAACGUGGAAAGCUGAACAGUCAGUCCAGCUGCUCACUACUGAAGUUUGAGCCCUCUUUCUGUUGUUAAUAUUCUUUCCUACAAGAACAUUAGGAAGCGGAGACCUCUAGAGUUUGAAGACGCACUCUGGCUCACAAACCUAGGGCACUGGUACUCAGACUCGGACCCAGGUCUGCCGGCACUGAGCAUAUUGGCGCCACAGGUGACUAAACAUCCGGAAGUAGGAUGCUCCACAGUAGCUGCAGAGGACCUCCUUUUAAGAGAUUGAAACAGUACUGCGUGCCCAACCUCCAGGCUCACCAGUGAGGGUGAAAUGAGAGCGCUCCCGUCCAAGUGCCAUCAGAAACUAUAUUUGCAAAGCAAGCAGAUCAGGUGUUUGACAAUCAAAGGAGAAGAAGCUACGGACUUGGAUAAUCUCUUCAGAGAAAAAACCUAAACCCGUCAAAGUGAAAGCCUAAGUGGUAGAACCUCUCCCAGCCGUCUGCGUGGAGGGAACCAGAACCGUCUCUUUGCAUUUUUCCCUAGUAGGUCUGUAUGUGCGCACCCCCCAGAACGCAGUAGGAUACCUGUUUAUCUUCUGGAGGAGGAGAAAAUUAGUGAGUAUUCUGCUGACUUGGCCAAAACUGCAACCAAUUAGCACAGUUUGGCAGCACUGCGCGUCCUCUGUAGUACGAUUGCCCGUUCACCUUUCUUAAGGAAGAAGAGGCAUCGAGCAAAAGGCUGUAACUUCUAGGAGCACAG
RNAcentral lists this long non-coding RNA (884 nucleotides) under Equus caballus (horse). RNAcentral's name for it is "lncRNA (ENSECAG00000050626.1)". Lineage: Eukaryota; Metazoa; Chordata; Mammalia; Perissodactyla; Equidae. The record is from RNAcentral.